GUCCUCGUAGCUCAACUGGAUAGAGCAUCCGCCUCCUAAGUGGAAGGUCACAGGUUCAAGUCCUGUCGGGGACG
This 74-nucleotide transfer RNA is filed under the name Achromatium sp. WMS3. It matches the Rfam family "tRNA". Rfam says of the family: Transfer RNA (tRNA) molecules are approximately 80 nucleotides in length. Their secondary structure includes four short double-helical elements and three loops (D, anti-codon, and T loops). Lineage: Bacteria; Pseudomonadati; Pseudomonadota; Gammaproteobacteria; Thiotrichales; Thiotrichaceae. The record is from Rfam by way of RNAcentral.